UUGCACGCUGGCGGCAUGCUUUACACAUGCAAGUCGAACGGUAACAGGCCUUCGGGUGCUGACGAGUGGCGACCGGGUGAGUAAUGCAUCGGAACGUGCCCAGAGGUGGGGGAUAACGCAGCGAAAGCUGUGCUAAUACCGCAUGUGAUCUGAGGAUGAAAGCGGGGGACCAGGCAGCAAUGUUUGGCCUCGCGCCUUUGGAGCGGCCGAUGUCAGAUUAGGUAGUUGGUGGGGUAAAGGCCUACCAAGCCGACGAUCUGUAGCUGGUCUGAGAGGACGACCAGCCACACUGGGACUGAGACACGGCCCAGACUCCUACGGGAGGCAGCAGUGGGGAAUUUUGGACAAUGGGCGCAAGCCUGAUCCAGCAAUGCCGCGUGCGGGAAGAAGGCCUUCGGGUUGUAAACCGCUUUUGUACGGAACGAAAAGGCUCUGGCUAAUACCUGGGGCUGAUGACGGUACCGUAAGAAUAAGCACCGGCUAACUACGUG
RNAcentral lists this ribosomal RNA (491 nucleotides) under uncultured bacterium. RNAcentral describes it as "partial 16S ribosomal RNA". It matches the Rfam family "Bacterial small subunit ribosomal RNA", at positions 30 to 507 of the family's 1533-position model. The record is from RNAcentral.